GAUGAACGCUGGCGGCGUGCUUAACACAUGCAAGUCGAACGGAAAGGCUCCUGCUUGCAGGGGUACUCGAUUGGCGAACGGGUGAGUAACACGUGGGUGAUCUGCCCUGCACUUCGGGAUAAGCCUGGGAAACUGGGUCUCAUACCGGAUAGGACCACAUUUUGGGUGGUGUGGUGGAAAGUUUUUCGGUGUGGGUUGGGCUCGCGGCCUAUCAGCUUGUUGGUGGGGUAAUGGCCUACCAAGGCGUCGACGGGUAGCCGGCCUGAGAGGGUGUACGGCCACAUUGGGACUGAGAGAGGGCCCAGACGCCUACGGGAGGCAGCAGUGGGGAAUAUUGCACAAUGGGCGCAAGCCUGAUGCAGCGACGCCGGGUGGGGGAUGACGGCCUUCGGGUUGUAAACACCUUUCGCUAGGGACGAAGCGCAAGUGACGGUACCUGGAGAAGAAGCACCGGCUAACUACGUG
This 465-nucleotide ribosomal RNA is filed under the name uncultured bacterium. RNAcentral describes it as "partial 16S ribosomal RNA". It matches the Rfam family "Bacterial small subunit ribosomal RNA", at positions 28 to 507 of the family's 1533-position model. The record is from RNAcentral.